RNAcentral lists this ribosomal RNA (585 nucleotides) under Penicillium polonicum. RNAcentral describes it as "eukaryotic LSU rRNA". The stretch from base 207 to 359 matches the Rfam family "5.8S ribosomal RNA". The record is from RNAcentral. Lineage: Eukaryota; Fungi; Ascomycota; Eurotiomycetes; Eurotiales; Aspergillaceae.
UCCGUAGGUGAACCUGCGGAAGGAUCAUUACCGAGUGAGGGCCCUUUGGGUCCAACCUCCCACCCGUGUUUAUUUUACCUUGUUGCUUCGGCGGGCCCGCCUUUACUGGCCGCCGGGGGGCUCACGCCCCCGGGCCCGCGCCCGCCGAAGACACCCCCGAACUCUGUCUGAAGAUUGAAGUCUGAGUGAAAAUAUAAAUUAUUUAAAACUUUCAACAACGGAUCUCUUGGUUCCGGCAUCGAUGAAGAACGCAGCGAAAUGCGAUACGUAAUGUGAAUUGCAAAUUCAGUGAAUCAUCGAGUCUUUGAACGCACAUUGCGCCCCCUGGUAUUCCGGGGGGCAUGCCUGUCCGAGCGUCAUUGCUGCCCUCAAGCCCGGCUUGUGUGUUGGGCCCCGUCCUCCGAUUCCGGGGGACAGGCCCGAAAGGCAGCGGCGGCACCGCGUCCGGUCCUCGAGCGUAUGGGGCUUUGUCACCCGCUCUGUAGGCCCGGCCGGCGCUUGCCGAUCAACCCAAAUUUUUAUCCAGGUUGACCUCGGAUCAGGUAGGGAUACCCGCUGAACUUAAGCAUAUCAAUAAGCGGAGGA